This 76-nucleotide transfer RNA is filed under the name Bacillota bacterium. Its description in RNAcentral is "tRNA-Pro". It matches the Rfam family "tRNA". Rfam says of the family: Transfer RNA (tRNA) molecules are approximately 80 nucleotides in length. Their secondary structure includes four short double-helical elements and three loops (D, anti-codon, and T loops). The record is from RNAcentral. Lineage: Bacteria; Bacillati; Bacillota.
CGGGGUAUAGCGCAGUUGGUAGCGCGCUUGUCUGGGGGGCAAGAGGUCGUGGGUUCAAGUCCCGCUACUCCGACCA